This 253-nucleotide ribosomal RNA is filed under the name uncultured bacterium. RNAcentral's name for it is "partial 16S ribosomal RNA". It matches the Rfam family "Bacterial small subunit ribosomal RNA", at positions 524 to 776 of the family's 1533-position model. The record is from RNAcentral.
CACGUAGGGGGCAAGCGUUGUCCGGAUUUAUUGGGCGUAAAGAGCUCGUAGGCGGCCUGUCGCGUCGGAUGUGAAAGCCCGGGGCUUAACCCCGGGUCUGCAUUCGAUACGGGCAGGCUAGAGUGUGGUAGGGGAGAUCGGAAUUCCUGGUGUAGCGGUGAAAUGCGCAGAUAUCAGGAGGAACACCGGUGGCGAAGGCGGAUCUCUGGGCCAUUACUGACGCUGAGGAGCGAAAGCGUGGGGAGCGAACAGG